GUAAGGAAUAUUGGACAAUGGGCGAAAGCCUGAUCCAGCCAUGCCGCGUGUGUGAAGAAGGUCUUCGGAUUGUAAAGCACUUUAAGUUGGGAGGAAGGGCAGUAAGUUAAUACCUUGCUGUUUUGACGUUACCGACAGAAUAAGCACCGGCUAACUUCGUGCCAGCAGCCGCGGUAAUACGAAGGGUGCAAGCGUUAAUCGGAAUUACUGGGCGUAAAGCGCGCGUAGGUGGUUUUGUAAGUUGGAGGUGAAAUCCCCGGGCUCAACCUGGGAACUGCCUCCAAAACUGCAUGACUAGAGUACGGUAGAGGGUAGUGGAAUUUCCUGUGUAGCGGUGAAAUGCGUAGAUAUAGGAAGGAACACCAGUGGCGAAGGCGACUACCUGGACUGAUACUGACACUGAGGUGCGAAAGCGUGGGGAGCAAACAGGAUUAGAUACCCGGGUAGUCC
Molecule: ribosomal RNA, 450 nt
Filed under: uncultured bacterium
Lineage: Bacteria
Description: partial 16S ribosomal RNA
Rfam family: Bacterial small subunit ribosomal RNA
Source: RNAcentral